Molecule: transfer RNA, 74 nt
Filed under: Schistocerca americana (American grasshopper)
Lineage: Eukaryota; Metazoa; Arthropoda; Insecta; Orthoptera; Acrididae
Also listed under: 1 other name
Description: tRNA-Ser
Rfam family: tRNA
About the family: Transfer RNA (tRNA) molecules are approximately 80 nucleotides in length.
Source: RNAcentral
UGCUUGGGUAGCUCAGUGGUAGAGCACUUGCCCGUGAAAGGCAAAGGUCCCGAGUUCGAGUCUCGGUCCAGCAC